CUUUAUGUAUUUAUUUAAACAUUAUUUUAUAUGUAAAUUUUUGUAUUUAAUAGGUAAUUUCUUAAGGGAAAAGUUUUAUUUUAUAUACAGUAAUAAAUAUUAUUGAUAUUAAGUAAUUUUAGAUUUAGUAAUUGUAAUUUGAAUUGGAUAAAUUUGUGCCAGCAUCCGCGGUUARACAUAAGAUUCAAAUAAAUAUUUUUGGUUAAAGUAAUUAUUUUAUAAGUUUUCUAUUUUAUAAAUAUUAAGUGGUGAAAUAUUAAUAUUUAGUAUUUUGGAUAAAUGUUAGUAGAAUGAAAAGAUUAUUAAAUUGUAAGUGGAGACUAGGAUUAGAUACCCUAUUAUUUUUAAUGUAAAUUAAUUUAAACCAGAGUAUUACUUGUUAGGGGCCUGAAACUUAAAGAAUUUGGCGGUAUUUUAGUCUAUUCAGAGGAAUCUGUUAAGUGAUCGAUAGUCCACGUUGAACCUUAUUUAUGUAAUUUCUUGUAUAUCGCUGUUUAUGAAUAUACUUUUAGGUAAGAUUUUCUGAAUAUAUAAUAUAUAUAGUAUUUCAAGUCAAGGUGCAGUAAUAUAUAAGAUUAAAUGGAUUACAAUAAAUUUUAUUUAUAUGGAUAAAAUCUUAAAAGUUGAUUGAAAGUGGAUUUGAUUGUAAUUUUUUAAAGAUUGUAAAAAUGAUUAUAAGCUCUAUAAUAUGUACACAUCGCCCGUCACUCUCGUUAUUAAGAUGAGAUAAGUCGUAACAUAGUAGAUGUAUUGGAAAAUGUAUCUAGAAUAA
This 772-nucleotide non-coding RNA is filed under the name Caliris sp. JZ-2017. Lineage: Eukaryota; Metazoa; Arthropoda; Insecta; Mantodea; Haaniidae. The record is from RNAcentral.